GUGCCAGCCGCCGCGGUAAUACGAAGGGGGCUAGCGUUGCUCGGAAUCACUGGGCGUAAAGCGCACGUAGGCGGAUUCCUAAGUCGGUGGUGAAAUCCUGGAGCUCAACUCCAGAACUGCCUCCGAUACUGGGAGUCUACGAGUCCGGGAGAGGUGAGUGGAACUCCGAGUGUAGAGGUGAAAUUCGUAGAUAUUCGGAAGAACACCAGUGGCGAAGGCGGCUCACUGGCCCGGUACUGACGCUGAGGUGCGAAAGCGUGGGGAGCAAACAGGAUUAGAUACCCCGGUAGUCC
Molecule: ribosomal RNA, 293 nt
Filed under: uncultured bacterium
Lineage: Bacteria
Description: partial 16S ribosomal RNA
Rfam family: Bacterial small subunit ribosomal RNA
Source: RNAcentral